GAACUCUGGUAUUGAUUGGUGCUUGCAUCAUGAUUUACAUUUGAGUGAGUGGCGAACUGGUGAGUAACACGUGGGAAACCUGCCCAGAAGCGGGGGAUAACACCUGGAAACAGAUGCUAAUACCGCAUAACAACUUGGACCGCAUGGUCCGAGCUUGAAAGAUGGCUUCGGCUAUCACUUUUGGAUGGUCCCGCGGCGUAUUAGCUAGAUGGUGGGGUAACGGCUCACCAUGGCAAUGAUACGUAGCCGACCUGAGAGGGUAAUCGGCCACAUUGGGACUGAGACACGGCCCAAACUCCUACGGGAGGCAGCAGUAGGGAAUCUUCCACAAUGGACGAAAGUCUGAUGGAGCAACGCCGCGUGAGUGAAGAAGGGUUUCGGCUCGUAAAACUCUGUUGUUAAAGAAGAACAUAUCUGAGAGUAACUGUUCAGGUAUUGACGGUAUUUAACCAGAAAGCCACGGCUAACUACGUGCCAGCAGCCGCGGUAAUACGUAGGUGGCAAGCGUUGUCCGGAUUUAUUGGGCGUAAAGCGAGCGCAGGCGGUUUUUUAAGUCUGAUGUGAAAGCCUUCGGCUCAACCGAAGAAGUGCAUCGGAAACUGGGAAACUUGAGUGCAGAAGAGGACAGUGGAACUCCAUGUGUAGCGGUGAAAUGCGUAGAUAUAUGGAAGAACACCAGUGGCGAAGGCGGCUGUCUGGUCUGUAACUGACGCUGAGGCUCGAAAGUAUGGGUAGCAAACAGGAUUAGAUACCCUGGUAGUCCAUACCGUAAACGAUGAAUGCUAAGUGUUGGAGGGUUUCCGCCCUUCAGUGCUGCAGCUAACGCAUUAAGCAUUCCGCCUGGGGAGUACGGCCGCAAGGCUGAAACUCAAAGGAAUUGACGGGGGCCCGCACAAGCGGUGGAGCAUGUGGUUUAAUUCGAAGCUACGCGAAGAACCUUACCAGGUCUUGACAUACUAUGCAAAUCUAAGAGAUUAGACGUUCCCUUCGGGGACAUGGAUACAGGUGGUGCAUGGUUGUCGUCAGCUCGUGUCGUGAGAUGUUGGGUUAAGUCCCGCAACGAGCGCAACCCUUAUUAUCAGUUGCCAGCAUUAAGUUGGGCACUCUGGUGAGACUGCCGGUGACAAACCGGAGGAAGGUGGGGAUGACGUCAAAUCAUCAUGCCCCUUAUGACCUGGGCUACACACGUGCUACAAUGGAUGGUACAACGAGUUGCGAACUCGCGAGAGUAAGCUAAUCUCUUAAAGCCAUUCUCAGUUCGGAUUGUAGGCUGCAACUCGCCUACAUGAAGUCGGAAUCGCUAGUAAUCGCGGAUCAGCAUGCCGCGGUGAAUACGUUCCCGGGCCUUGUACACACCGCCCGUCACACCAUGAGAGUUUGUAACACCCAAAGUCGGUGGGGUAACCUUUUAGGAACCAG
This 1419-nucleotide ribosomal RNA is filed under the name Lactiplantibacillus plantarum. Its description in RNAcentral is "bacterial SSU rRNA". It matches the Rfam family "Bacterial small subunit ribosomal RNA". Lineage: Bacteria; Bacillati; Bacillota; Bacilli; Lactobacillales; Lactobacillaceae. The record is from RNAcentral.